UACGUCUGGUUAGGGUUGUUAACGAUAAUACUACAGUGUAGCUUGUGGACAGUACUCUCACCGAGUAUUGUUGAACACUGUUUGUCGAACGGUACUUGCUCUGUACUACGCAUUGUAUGUGUUGUGUUCAGCAAUUCCCGUUUAAGUGAAGAACACAGUGCAACAUGUGCACGCUGUUAUUCACUACGUUAGUUAGCUAGUUUACUAACGUAUGAUAGCGGUGCAUACUGUAUGACAUGAACAUAUCGUUGUUCACUGUUUAAUCGCUCUCGCGACUUAUGAGCGUGGUUGAACGGAGACAAUGUGAAGGACAACGAUGUUCGCCAUGUGGAUGUGUCAUUUGCAAUGCAACCUGAGCUCAGGCGUGAUUACCCGCUGAACUUAAGCAUAUCAUUUAGCGGAGGAAAAGAAACUAAA
This 417-nucleotide ribosomal RNA is filed under the name Necator americanus (New World hookworm). Its description in RNAcentral is "eukaryotic LSU rRNA". The stretch from base 349 to 417 matches the Rfam family "Eukaryotic large subunit ribosomal RNA", at positions 1 to 69 of the family's 3401-position model. The record is from RNAcentral. Lineage: Eukaryota; Metazoa; Nematoda; Chromadorea; Rhabditida; Ancylostomatidae.